UUAAGCAAAGUGACAUUAAAAUAUUUUUCCAAAUCCACGUCACCGAAUUUAUGCUUGACAUUUUAUUACAAAUGCGACUGCUAAUAUAUAAAAAAAAAUUGAUUUGUCUUGGGGUUCAAACAAUGCAUCUUGGGUGACUUUGAUGUUGAUGAGUUCAAGCAUUGUUAAUGGGCCAAACUUGUUGCUAAUUUUGGACUUGAGGAAAAUAAAUGGUGUGUGGUUAGUACGAAAAGCGAACUAUGUGAGCAUCAAAAGAUAUUAAACGAUUUUUUUGAUGAUUUAUGUACUACUACUGCACAUUGUGAGAUUCAUAAUUUGGUAAGUGUGUUGAUCUAACGACUAUUUAUUGGACUUUAUACAACAUUAUUUUCGUUGGACGAAUUAUGCGGUAUAAAGAAGUUGAGGUAAAUUUUAUGCAAUCUUUUGAUGACAAUGUUUUGCAAUCAUAACUAUGUUCACUUGAACAUUGAGCA
Molecule: long non-coding RNA, 473 nt
Filed under: Medicago truncatula (barrel medic)
Lineage: Eukaryota; Viridiplantae; Streptophyta; Magnoliopsida; Fabales; Fabaceae
Description: long non-coding RNA (MTRU_LNC004013)
Source: RNAcentral